CAGUCGCCACGGGAAUACGUAGGUGGCAAGCGUUGUCCGGAAUUAUUGAGCGUAAAGGGCUCGCAGGCGGUUUCUUAAGUCUGAUGUGAAAGCCCCCGGCUCAACCGGGGAGGGUCAUUGGAAACUGGGAAACUUGAGUGCAGAAGAGGAGAGUGGAAUUCCACGUGUAGCGGUGAAAUGCGUAGAGAUGUGGAGGAACACCAGUGGCGAAGGCGACUCUCUGGUCUGUAACUGACGCUGAGGAGCGAAAGCGUGGGGAGCGAACAGGAUUAGAUACCCCUGUAGUCCCUGUCUCUUAUAC
RNAcentral lists this ribosomal RNA (301 nucleotides) under uncultured bacterium. RNAcentral's name for it is "partial 16S ribosomal RNA". It matches the Rfam family "Bacterial small subunit ribosomal RNA", at positions 509 to 807 of the family's 1533-position model. The record is from RNAcentral.